GCAGCAGGUGGCGCACUGGUUAGAGCCCUCGUUCUGAACGCGGAGCUUGUACGUUCGAAUCUUAUCUGCUGUA
This 73-nucleotide transfer RNA is filed under the name Scleropages formosus (Asian bonytongue). RNAcentral's name for it is "tRNA-Gln". The record is from RNAcentral. Lineage: Eukaryota; Metazoa; Chordata; Actinopteri; Osteoglossiformes; Osteoglossidae.